RNAcentral lists this long non-coding RNA (2057 nucleotides) under Homo sapiens (human). Its description in RNAcentral is "long non-coding RNA NONHSAT218994". Lineage: Eukaryota; Metazoa; Chordata; Mammalia; Primates; Hominidae. The record is from RNAcentral.
GCCUGGCUUUGCCGAGCCGCUUCCUCAUGUUGCACGUGGGGAUGACGGAGCCGCCCUCCAGGAAGCUCCAGGGAUUCAUAAGACCAGGCGUGCCAGAGCUGCAGGUCUCAGCAGCUGAUCACUAAGUGCUGGUGCCUGCUCACAAGGGACAGCUGCCCACCAGCUCUGGGCCAUGGCUGGGGGCUCCCGCCCAAGCCCUGGGCAACUGAUGAUACGUUGCUGACCGCAGGCAAGCCUCCCUGCCAGCCCUGCUGGCCUGCAUGGGACCAGGGAAGGAGGGUGAGGCCUAUAUUUAUCUGCAGUGUGAGGAGGCUUGUCUGGCAGUCAGAUGCAAAUGCCUUCAUCCCAUCUAGGCUGGUUGCUGCUCACAGCGGACAAGUCUUUCCCGCCUGUUCCACACCAGCCUGGUGCCAGUGACAGGGGUGGCGGGAGCUUCACAGUGCCUGGAGGCUCGUUCCUGGGCUGCGAAAGCGCCUGAGUGACGGAGGCUCAGGCUGAGCUUAGGCGAGUUUACUGAGGCUUAGGAGGAAGCCGGAUCAGAAGAGGCUGCAGAAACCAUAAUGCCCACACAUCCCUGCCCCAGCGGCGGCCCACAGGUGCCUGGCCUCAGCUCAGCUACACUGGAGGGGAGGUAGCCAGCACCCUGAUGGUGUCUCGGUUCUAAGACCCCAUUUACACAGUGGAAAACAGGAGGCAGCCGCCCAGCGACCUCUGCCCUUCAAAGGCUCCAAGAGAAGCAAAGGGACAGGUGUAAGGAAGUAAGCCCUGACCCUGGAGACUCAACAAGCCCUGAUGAAGUUAGACGAAGUUACAAGCUGGGCCCUGACCCUGGUCACACACUAAGCUCUGACCCUGGUCUCAGACUGAGCCCUGAUUCUCAUCACUGAGUCACUAAGUCCUGAUCCUGGUCACAUGUCGAGCCUCGACCUUAGUCAUACACUGAGUCUUGACCCUGGUCACAGGCUGAGCCCUGACCCUGGUCACACACUGAGCCCUGAUCCUGGUCACACACUGAGCCCUGACCCUGGUCCUCAAUCAGCUGAGCCUUGAUCCUGCUUCCUGAUUGGCUAUGAACUGUUCCAGUGUGGAAGGGAGAGGCCAGGGCAUGAGGUGGGACUCGCUAGGGCAGCCCCUCUGCACAUCUGGGACUCAGGUCAGAACACAACCCUCCCUACAUGCGAGAAGAAGUUCCUGCAGGUGGCAUCUUUCAGGUAGCUGUGCUUUAAGCCUGCGCUGGGCUUGCCCUCCGGUGACAGCAGCAGCUUUCAAGGAGGCAGCCAUGAGACAGUCCCUCAGGCUGGGGGCUUGAUCACGCUCACCUCAGAGCCUCACCUCCUGGGGAGUGAGCAAAAGUGAGAGUCAUUAACCCACUUUACAGAGGAGGAAACGGAGGCCCGGGAAGGGGCCUCAGGAUCUCGCCCAGAGAAUAGCCGGUCCUGAAGACCCUGCAUCUGAGCCACACCCUGCUCUGCCCACACCUCCUGGGGUCUCAGCACCCCCAGUGCAUUUUCCCCCGCCCCCGGCCUGCACUGUGAGCUCCGGUUGGUGGUUCCUAGCAAGCACCUGUUGGCUGUGCCAGGCCCCAAGCGCCUCAUGAGCUAAAGAGGGUGCCCUGCUAUUCUGGGGCUCAAUGCCCAGCCUCUGCCCGAGUAGCCUUGUCUGUGCCUGUCCUGGGCCGGCCCUCCACGUCUGGAGGGGAGACGGAGCUUGCCUUCUCUGUGCUGUGGGACUGACUGUGUCGGGGUGGGGCAGGGAGGAAGCAAAAACCAAACCCCUCGCUUCCCCGACUGCCUGCCCUCGCCUGUCUCCAAACCUCACGGACAUCCAGCUCGAGGGAAGUGAACGUCACUCCAAUAUCUGAAAAUGCAGCUGAUGCUGCAAUUACAUCCCCUGUCCCUUCUCCUUCCGGGGGUCCUCUGGGGUCCUGGGAAUCCGGCCAACAGGAAUCUGUUUUAUGAUCCUGAGUCUCUGCCAGCAGGAAGGCCGGGCGAGGCCGGUCCCUAUGUGCCCACGAUGCUCUCACAUAAAUAUGCAUCACUUAAAAUUUAAUAAAAAAU